GACGAACGCUGGCGGCGUGCUUAACACAUGCAAGUCGAACGGAAAGGCCCUGCUUUUGUGGGGUGCUCGAGUGGCGAACGGGUGAGUAACACGUGAGUAACCUGCCCUUGACUUUGGGAUAACUUCAGGAAACUGGGGCUAAUACCGGAUAGGAGCUCCUGCUGCAUGGUGGGGGUUGGAAAGUUUCGGCGGUUGGGGAUGGACUCGCGGCUUAUCAGCUUGUUGGUGGGGUAGUGGCUUACCAAGGCUUUGACGGGUAGCCGGCCUGAGAGGGUGACCGGGAAGAGGGGGAAUGAGAGACAGAAGGGACGACGGCGGGAGGAAGAAGGCGGGAAGAGGGCGAAAGGCGCGGAAGCGUGAAGCAGCAACGUCGAGGGACGAAGGAUGGCGUGCGGGAGGGAAAAAGCUGGCCCCGGUGAAGAAGAGGGAGUGACGGUAAUGGGUAAAGAAGGAAAGGCGAACUACGUG
This 468-nucleotide ribosomal RNA is filed under the name uncultured bacterium. Its description in RNAcentral is "partial 16S ribosomal RNA". It matches the Rfam family "Bacterial small subunit ribosomal RNA", at positions 28 to 507 of the family's 1533-position model. The record is from RNAcentral.